This 414-nucleotide ribosomal RNA is filed under the name uncultured soil bacterium. RNAcentral's name for it is "bacterial SSU rRNA". It matches the Rfam family "Bacterial small subunit ribosomal RNA", at positions 26 to 451 of the family's 1533-position model. The record is from RNAcentral.
AGGAUGAACGCUGGCGGCGUGCUUAACACAUGCAAGUCACGGGGGCCCAGCAAUGGGCAACCGGCGAACGGGUGCGUAACACGUGAGCAACCUACCUAAGUCGAGGGGGGAUAGCCGGCCCAACGGCCGGGUAAUACCGCAUACGCUCGAAUUGAGGCAUUUUGAUUUCGAGGAAACCUACGGGGCACGUAUCGAGGGGCUCGCGGCCUAUCAGCUAGUUGGUGAGGUAACGGCUCACCAAGGCGACGACGGGUAGCUGGUCUGAGAGGAUGGCCAGCCACAUUGGGACUGAGAUACGGCCCAGACUCCUACGGGAGCAGCGAGUGGGAAUCUUAGCGCAAAUGGCCUAACGGCUAGACGACAGCCGACGCCGCGUGGACGGGAUCGGACGCGUUCGUUACGGAGUGUUAAACC